CCUACGGGAGGCAGCAGUCGGGAAUUUUGGGCAAUGGGCGCAAGCCUGACCCAGCAACGCCGCGUGAAGGAUGAAAUCCCUCGGGAUGUAAACUUCGCAAGAACAGGAAGAAUAAGUGGGGGACAAUACCCCCCAUGAUGACGGUACUGUUUGUAAGCUCCGGCUAACUCCGUGCCAGCAGCCGCGGUAAU
This 191-nucleotide ribosomal RNA is filed under the name uncultured bacterium. RNAcentral's name for it is "partial 16S ribosomal RNA". It matches the Rfam family "Bacterial small subunit ribosomal RNA", at positions 338 to 524 of the family's 1533-position model. The record is from RNAcentral.